GCCCUUUUCAUGCCGGAACGAUCCCCUUAUAUUGCGGGUGCCGGCUUUCGGGUCGGCUAUGGCGAUAAACGGCCGAUGUAAUAAACCUUUCGGACCCGGGGGCGGUACCCGGCGCCUCCACCUGGACCCAUCAUCGAGUGUGCGCGAGCGAUGGCUCCAGGCGGGGGCGAAAUAGGAUCGACGAGGGCGUAAAGAUCGGACUUUUGCUCGGCAUGGUACCACCGUUAUCGGGCUGUUUUAUAGUUGCAAACGACAACUAUGCGGAAGCACGUCUCGCUGCGUAAGCAGUGUGAUCGCUUCAAAUCAAGCCCUGGGGGUUCGCACUUCUAGGCGGGGUUCGGAGGCACCUGGCAACAGAAGCCUCCACU
This 368-nucleotide transfer-messenger RNA is filed under the name Aurantimonas sp. It matches the Rfam family "Alphaproteobacteria transfer-messenger RNA". Rfam says of the family: Bacterial tmRNA, also known as 10Sa RNA or SsrA, is named for its dual tRNA and mRNA-like properties. Its role is to liberate the mRNA from a stalled ribosome. Lineage: Bacteria; Pseudomonadati; Pseudomonadota; Alphaproteobacteria; Hyphomicrobiales; Aurantimonadaceae. The record is from RNAcentral. RNAcentral also lists the same sequence under 1 other name.